CAUUUCCUACGGGACGCAGCAGUCGAGAAUCAUUCACAAUGGGGGAAACCCUGAUGGUGCGACGCCGCGUGGGGGAAUGAAGGUCUUCGGAUUGUAAACCCCUGUCAUGUGGGAGCAAAUUAAAAAGAUAGUACCACAAGAGGAAGAGACGGCUAACUCUGUGCCAGCAGCCGCGGUAAUACAGAGGUCUCAAGCGUUGUUCGGACUCAAUGGGCGUAAAGCGUGCGUAGGCUGUUUCGUAAGUCGUGUGUGAAAGGCGCGGGCUCAACCCGCGGCCGGCACAUGAUACUGCGAGAC
This 297-nucleotide ribosomal RNA is filed under the name uncultured bacterium. Its description in RNAcentral is "partial 16S ribosomal RNA". It matches the Rfam family "Bacterial small subunit ribosomal RNA", at positions 333 to 641 of the family's 1533-position model. The record is from RNAcentral.